Molecule: ribosomal RNA, 537 nt
Filed under: uncultured archaeon
Lineage: Archaea
Description: bacterial SSU rRNA
Rfam family: Archaeal small subunit ribosomal RNA
Source: RNAcentral
CCGCCGCGGUAACACCGGCAGCUCUAGUGGUAGCUGUUUUAUUGGGCCUAAAGCGUUCGUAGCCGGUUUGAUAAGUCACUGGUGAAAUCCUGUAGCUUAACUGUGGGAAUUGCUGGUGAUACUGUUGAACUUGAGGUCGGGAGAGGUUAGCGGUACUCCCAGGGUAGAGGUGAAAUUCUGUAAUCCUGGGAGGACCACCUGUGGCGAAGGCGGCUAACUGGAAUGAACCUGACGGUGAGGGACGAAAGCUAGGGGCGCGAACCGGAUUAGAUACCCGGGUAGUCCUAGCCGUAAACGAUGCGGACUUGGUGUUGGGAUGGCUUUGAGCCGCUCCGGUGCCGAAGGGAAGCUGUUAAGUCCGCCGCCUGGGAAGUACGGUCGCAAGACUGAAACUUAAGGAAUUGGCGGGGGAGCACCACAACGCGUGGAGCCUGCCGGUUUAAUUGGAUUCAACGCCGGACAUCUCACCAGGAGCGACAGCUGUAUGAUUACCAGGCUGAUGACCUUGUUUGACUAGCUGAGAGGAGAGGUGCAUGG